RNAcentral lists this long non-coding RNA (1029 nucleotides) under Homo sapiens (human). Its description in RNAcentral is "non-protein coding lnc-OARD1-1:8". Lineage: Eukaryota; Metazoa; Chordata; Mammalia; Primates; Hominidae. The record is from RNAcentral.
CCAGCUAAGCAGUAGGUUCUUAGGAAAACUGUGUGUCUUGGAGAAUGAAUUUCCAUCAGAGGUAAGUGAUUGGCAUGCUUUUUUCUGUUUUUGAUUAAAAAUAAUUUUAAUAUAAUAUUUUACUAGAUUGUCUGACCAGAAAAGAAAUUACUAAAAAUCAUAGCUAUAGAGGCACUUUAACAAAAUAAAUAUUUAAUACCUGGGACCUAUUUGGUACUUUUCUCUUUGCCCCUUCUUAUUACAAGUACCUGAAUUCUCAUGCUUGAUUGCCAGAUGGGAUCUUGAAGUGUCUGGCCAAGUCCUGUGGGGGUCAGAGCCCUCUGUUGCGGCUGAGCCUUGGACCAGCAGUGAUCAGAAACCUUUCCUGGGGGGAGGCUUUUGUUUGCUUGCAGGAAUGUUUCUGGGCCACCACCCCAGGUAGCCCAUUCACCGUCCUGGCAGGGAGAGCUCAUAAAAGAGGCAGCCUAUUUCACUUUUUUCUUUCCUCCUUAUCAACUGGGACAGUUUGUUUUUCCCUCUGACUCAUAGAUCCGGAAUUUCAGGACUAGAAAGGGGCUCCCCUGCUGUUUUCUUCAAGUGACAAAAAGACAAAGAUAGAGUUUAGCUACCUAUAGUGCAUUUUACUUCAGCAUGAAGAAUACUUAUAAUUGUCUUUUCCAAUCAGACAUUUUCCUAGCCAGUUUGUUUACCUUAUUUUGAUUUUGAGGAGGCCCAUUUCCUACCUUGUUUUCGUUUGUCUUAUUUUUUACUGGUCUUAGCUGGGUCUUUUGUGAGCUGCUAAUUUGCUCUCUGGUCUCUUAGCAACCAGGAACUUUUCCAGCUUGCUGCUGAAUCAGACCUUGGAGUUGCAAAGUUUAUAACAGAACCUGCUGAAGGACAGUAUCUCUCCUAGAGCCAGCAAUUUUAAACCAAUGUUUGAACAAGAAAAUUAACCAGGGUUUCAGGACAUGUACAUUCACAAAGGCAACAACUACAAAACAAAUGUCUGGCUCUCCAGAAUGGUUCCAUUCUCUUCCGCUCCCAGCCCCA